RNAcentral lists this ribosomal RNA (2907 nucleotides) under Salmonella enterica subsp. enterica serovar Dublin. RNAcentral describes it as "bacterial LSU rRNA". It matches the Rfam family "Bacterial large subunit ribosomal RNA". The record is from RNAcentral. Lineage: Bacteria; Pseudomonadati; Pseudomonadota; Gammaproteobacteria; Enterobacterales; Enterobacteriaceae.
GGGUUGUGAGGUUAAGCGACUAAGCGUACACGGUGGAUGCCCUGGCAGUCAGAGGCGAUGAAGGGCGUGCUAAUCUGCGAUAAGCGCCGGUAAGGUGAUAUGAACCGUUAUAACCGGCGAUACCCGAAUGGGGAAACCCAGUGUGAUUCGUCACACUAUCAUUAACUGAAUCCAUAGGUUAAUGAGGCGAACCGGGGGAACUGAAACAUCUAAGUACCCCGAGGAAAAGAAAUCAACCGAGAUUCCCCCAGUAGCGGCGAGCGAACGGGGAGGAGCCCAGAGCCUGAAUCAGCAUGUGUGUUAGUGGAAGCGUCUGGAAAGGCGCGCGAUACAGGGUGACAGCCCCGUACACAAAAGCGCAUGUGCUGUGAGCUCGAUGAGUAGGGCGGGACACGUGGUAUCCUGUCUGAAUAUGGGGGGACCAUCCUCCAAGGCUAAAUACUCCUGACUGACCGAUAGUGAACCAGUACCGUGAGGGAAAGGCGAAAAGAACCCCGGCGAGGGGAGUGAAAAAGAACCUGAAACCGUGUACGUACAAGCAGUGGGAGCNNGUGACUGCGUACCUUUUGUAUAAUGGGUCAGCGACUUAUAUUCUGUAGCAAGGUUAACCGAAUAGGGGAGCCGGAGGGAAACCGAGUCUUAAUUGGGCGUUAAGUUGCAGGGUAUAGACCCGAAACCCGGUGAUCUAGCCAUGGGCAGGUUGAAGGUUGGGUAACACUAACUGGAGGACCGAACCGACUAAUGUUGAAAAAUUAGCGGAUGACCUGUGGCUGGGGGUGAAAGGCCAAUCAAACCGGGAGAUAGCUGGUUCUCCCCGAAAGCUAUUUAGGUAGCGCCUCGUGAAUUCAUCUCCGGGGGUAGAGCACUGUUUCGGCUAGGGGGCCAUCCCGGCUUACCAACCCGAUGCAAACUGCGAAUACCGGAGAAUGUUAUCACGGGAGACACACGGCGGGUGCUAACGUCCGUCGUGAAGAGGGAAACAACCCAGACCGCCAGCUAAGGUCCCAAAGUCAUGGUUAAGUGGGAAACGAUGUGGGAAGGCCCAGACAGCCAGGAUGUUGGCUUAGAAGCAGCCAUCAUUUAAAGAAAGCGUAAUAGCUCACUGGUCGAGUCGGCCUGCGCGGAAGAUGUAACGGGGCUAAACCAUGCACCGAAGCUGCGGCAGCGANNGUUGGGUAGGGGAGCGUUCUGUAAGCCUGUGAAGGUGUGUCGUGAGGCAUGCUGGAGGUAUCAGAAGUGCGAAUGCUGACAUAAGUAACGAUAAAGCGGGUGAAAAGCCCGCUCGCCGGAAGACCAAGGGUUCCUGUCCAACGUUAAUCGGGGCAGGGUGAGUCGACCCCUAAGGCGAGGCCGAAAGGCGUAGUCGAUGGGAAACGGGUUAAUAUUCCCGUACUUGGUGUUACUGCGAAGGGGGGACGGAGAAGGCUAUGUUGGCCGGGCGACGGUUGUCCCGGUUUAAGCGUGUAGGUGUGUGUUCCAGGUAAAUCCGGUUCACUUUAACACUGAGGCGUGAUGACGAGGCACUACGGUGCUGAAGUAACAAAUGCCCUGCUUCCAGGAAAAGCCUCUAAGCAUCAGGUAACAUCAAAUCGUACCCCAAACCGACACAGGUGGUCAGGUAGAGAAUACCAAGGCGCUUGAGAGAACUCGGGUGAAGGAACUAGGCAAAAUGGUGCCGUAACUUCGGGAGAAGGCACGCUGACACGUAGGUGAAGUGAUUUACUCAUGGAGCUGAAGUCAGUCGAAGAUACCAGCUGGCUGCAACUGUUUAUUAAAAACACAGCACUGUGCAAACACGAAAGUGGACGUAUACGGUGUGACGCCUGCCCGGUGCCGGAAGGUUAAUUGAUGGGGUCAGCGCAAGCGAAGCUCCUGAUCGAAGCCCCGGUAAACGGCGGCCGUAACUAUAACGGUCCUAAGGUAGCGAAAUUCCUUGUCGGGUAAGUUCCGACCUGCACGAAUGGCGUAAUGAUGGCCAGGCUGUCUCCACCCGAGACUCAGUGAAAUUGAACUCGCUGUGAAGAUGCAGUGUACCCGCGGCAAGACGGAAAGACCCCGUGAACCUUUACUAUAGCUUGACACUGAACAUUGAGCCUUGAUGUGUAGGAUAGGUGGGAGGCUUUGAAGUGUGGACGCCAGUCUGCAUGGAGCCGACCUUGAAAUACCACCCUUUAAUGUUUGAUGUUCUAACGUGGACCCGUGAUCCGGGUUGCGGACAGUGUCUGGUGGGUAGUUUGACUGGGGCGGUCUCCUCCUAAAGAGUAACGGAGGAGCACGAAGGUUGGCUAAUCCUGGUCGGACAUCAGGAGGUUAGUGCAAUGGCAUAAGCCAGCUUGACUGCGAGCGUGACGGCGCGAGCAGGUGCGAAAGCAGGUCAUAGUGAUCCGGUGGUUCUGAAUGGAAGGGCCAUCGCUCAACGGAUAAAAGGUACUCCGGGGAUAACAGGCUGAUACCGCCCAAGAGUUCAUAUCGACGGCGGUGUUUGGCACCUCGAUGUCGGCUCAUCACAUCCUGGGGCUGAAGUAGGUCCCAAGGGUAUGGCUGUUCGCCAUUUAAAGUGGUACGCGAGCUGGGUUUAGAACGUCGUGAGACAGUUCGGUCCCUAUCUGCCGUGGGCGCUGGAGAACUGAGGGGGGCUGCUCCUAGUACGAGAGGACCGGAGUGGACGCAUCACUGGUGUUCGGGUUGUCAUGCCAAUGGCACUGCCCGGUAGCUAAAUGCGGAAGAGAUAAGUGCUGAAAGCAUCUAAGCACGAAACUUGCCCCGAGAUGAGUUCUCCCUGAGACUUAAAGUCUCCUGAAGGAACGUUGAAGACGACGACGUUGAUAGGCCGGGUGUGUAAGCGCAGCGAUGCGUUGAGCUAACCGGUACUAAUGAACCGUGAGGCUUAACCUUACAACGCCGAAG